UACUAGGCAGUAGGAAUAUAGCAGUGAAAAAACAGACCUUCUCUCUGUUCUCACAGAGCCUAUGGUCAAAUCAUAAUCAUAUAUUGCUUUAUAAUAGUAAGUUACUACGUGAGAAGAGGGAAAGGAACCUGAUACAUAGCAGGAAUGCAGGGGAAGUUUUCUUUGAGUAUAAUGUUUGAAAUGAGACCAACAGAACUGAGAGAGCAUUCCAGGAUUUCCAAAUUCUACAUAUGUCAAUUGUCGACCCCAAACUGAAACAGGACACUCAAAGCAUCCAAGAGACAAAAAUGAGAAUAAAAAGAGAAUAAUCUUACAUGUAGAUCAUCCUGAGUGGAGGGGAAAAAAUCAGACUUUUAAAUAUGAAACCAUAUAACCUAGGAGAGUUGGACAGAUAACAACGCCCACUCCUUGCUGUUGAUGGGAAAGGACUAAAUGGCCUUGAUAUGUGAAAGGCUAUGCUGAUCUGCCCCUUGAUCAAAGAACUUUAAAUGGAUACCUGGCAAAUCAAUGCAUAAUCUUAAUGAAGACUACUACAAGAACUUUUAACAGAUGC
Long non-coding RNA from Tupaia belangeri chinensis (Chinese tree shrew), 553 nucleotides. RefSeq lists it as uncharacterized. Lineage: Eukaryota; Metazoa; Chordata; Mammalia; Scandentia; Tupaiidae. The record is from RefSeq and is a predicted model, not a curated record. The transcript is spliced from 4 exons.